AGUGAACGCUGGCGGUAGGCCUAACACAUGCAAGUCGAACGGCAGCACAGUAAGAGCUUGCUCUUACGGGUGGCGAGUGGCGGACGGGUGAGGAAUACAUCGGAAUCUACUUUUUCGUGGGGGAUAACGUAGGGAAACUUACGCUAAUACCGCAUACGCCCUUCGGGUGAAAGCAGGGGAUCUUCGGACCUUGCGCGAUUGAAUGAGCCGAUGUCGGAUUAGCUAGUUGGCGGGGUAAAGGCCCACCAAGGCGACGAUCCGUAGCUGGUCUGAGAGGAUGAUCAGCCACACUGGAACUGAGACACGGUCCAGACUCCUACGGGAGGCAGCAGUGGGGAAUAUUGGACAAUGGGCGCAAGCCUGGUCCAGCCAUACCGAGUGGGUGAAGAAGGCCUUCGGGUUGUAAAGCCCUUUUGUUGGGAAAGAAAAGCAGCAGGUUAAUACCCCGCUGUUCUGACGGUACCCAAAGAAUAAGCACCGGCUAACUUCGUG
This 492-nucleotide ribosomal RNA is filed under the name uncultured bacterium. RNAcentral's name for it is "partial 16S ribosomal RNA". It matches the Rfam family "Bacterial small subunit ribosomal RNA", at positions 29 to 507 of the family's 1533-position model. The record is from RNAcentral.